GACGAACGCUGGCGGCGUGCUUAACACAUGCAAGUCGAACGGAAAGGCCCUGCUUUUGUGGGGUGCUCGAGUGGCGAACGGGUGAGUAACACGUGAGUAACCUGCCCUUGACUUUGGGAUAACUUCAGGAAACUGGGGCUAAUACCGGAUAGGAGCUCCUGCUGCAUGGUGGGGGUUGGAAAGUUUCGGCGGUUGGGGAUGGACUCGCGGCUUAUCAGCUUGUUGGUGGGGUAGUGGCUUACCAAGGCUUUGACGGGUAGCCGGCCUGAGAGGGUGACCGGCCACAUUGGGACUGAGAUACGGCCCAGACUCCUACGGGAGGCAGCAGUGGGGAAUAUUGCACAAUGGGCGGAAGCCUGAUGCAGCAACGCCGCGUGCGGGAUGACGGCCUUCGGGUUGUAAACCGCUUUCGCCUGUGAGGAAGCGUGAGUGACGGUAAUGGGUAGAGAAGCACCGGCUAACUACGUG
This 468-nucleotide ribosomal RNA is filed under the name uncultured bacterium. Its description in RNAcentral is "partial 16S ribosomal RNA". It matches the Rfam family "Bacterial small subunit ribosomal RNA", at positions 28 to 507 of the family's 1533-position model. The record is from RNAcentral.